Long non-coding RNA from Amblyraja radiata (thorny skate), 413 nucleotides. RefSeq lists it as uncharacterized. The transcript is spliced from 6 exons. The record is from RefSeq and is a predicted model, not a curated record. NCBI's taxonomy places the organism in Eukaryota, Metazoa, Chordata, Chondrichthyes, Rajiformes, Rajidae.
CAAAAAGACAGUGUGGUGCUUCUGAAGGAGGAAGCUGGUUGUAAGCGAAGGGUUCGUGAUGAUGCCAAACCACUGUCGGUGGUAGAUGAUGCCUUGCCGAUUGAAAAGUUUAAUUGCCCUGUUUCGUUCAACAUUGCAUUCAAAGAAAUAUCUGAUGACCUCAAGUCCUACCCUGCACUACAGUUUGGUGAAAUGAAAGUGUGCAGUCACAAAAUGGAGAAAACUGGGCGCAAGCGAAGGGUUCGUGAUGAAGCCAAACCACUGUCGGUGGUAGAUGAAGCCUUGCCGAUUGAAAAGUUUCAUUGCCCUGUUUCGUUCAACACGACAUUCAAAAAAAUAUCUGAUGACUUCAAGCAAGUCUCCGUCACCCUGGAUGUGGAAACAGCGCAUCCGCAGCUCAAGGUGUCUGAGGA